AGCAGUGUGGCUUAAUGGAUAGAGCAAGCAUCUGGGAGUCAGAAGGACCUGGGUUCUGAUCCCAGCUCGGCUA
RNAcentral lists this transfer RNA (73 nucleotides) under Ornithorhynchus anatinus (platypus). It matches the Rfam family "tRNA". Rfam says of the family: Transfer RNA (tRNA) molecules are approximately 80 nucleotides in length. Their secondary structure includes four short double-helical elements and three loops (D, anti-codon, and T loops). Lineage: Eukaryota; Metazoa; Chordata; Mammalia; Monotremata; Ornithorhynchidae. The record is from Rfam by way of RNAcentral.